GACGAACGCUGGCGGCGUGCUUAACACAUGCAAGUCGAGCGGUAAGGCCCUUUCGGGGGUACACGAGCGGCGAACGGGUGAGUAACACGCGGGUGACCUGCCCUCAGCUCUGGGAUAAGCCUGGGAAACCGGGUCUAAUACCGGAUAUGACUCCAUGACGCAUGUUGUGGGGUGGAAAGCCUUGUGCGGCUGAGGAUGGGCCCGCGGCCUAUCAGCUUGUUGGUGGGGUGAUGGCCUACCAAGGCGACGACGGGUAGCCGGCCUGAGAGGGCGACCGGCCACACUGGGACUGAGACACGGCCCAGACUCCUACGGGAGGCAGCAGUGGGGAAUCUUGCGCAAUGGGCGAAAGCCUGACGCAGCGACGCCGCGUGAGGGAUGACGGCCU
Molecule: ribosomal RNA, 388 nt
Filed under: uncultured bacterium
Lineage: Bacteria
Description: bacterial SSU rRNA
Rfam family: Bacterial small subunit ribosomal RNA
Source: RNAcentral